Molecule: ribosomal RNA, 575 nt
Filed under: Sutcliffiella horikoshii
Lineage: Bacteria; Bacillati; Bacillota; Bacilli; Caryophanales; Bacillaceae
Description: bacterial SSU rRNA
Rfam family: Bacterial small subunit ribosomal RNA
Source: RNAcentral
GUGGGCAACCUGCCUGUAAGACUGGGAUAACUUCGGGAAACCGGGAGCUAAUACCGGAUAAUAUAAGGAACCUCCUGGUUCUUUAUUGAAAGAUGGUUUCGGCUAUCACUUACAGAUGGGCCCGCGGCGCAUUAGCUAGUUGGUGAGGUAACGGCUCACCAAGGCGACGAUGCGUAGCCGACCUGAGAGGGUGAUCGGCCACACUGGGACUGAGACACGGCCCAGACUCCUACGGGAGGCAGCAGUAGGGAAUCUUCCACAAUGGACGAAAGUCUGAUGGAGCAACGCCGCGUGAGCGAUGAAGGCCUUCGGGUCGUAAAGCUCUGUUGUUAGGGAAGAACAAGUGCGAGAGUAACUGCUCGCACCUUGACGGUACCUAACCAGAAAGCCACGGCUAACUACGUGCCAGCAGCCGCGGUAAUACGUAGGUGGCAAGCGUUGUCCGGAAUUAUUGGGCGUAAAGCGCGCGCAGGUGGUCCUUUAAGUCUGAUGUGAAAGCCCACGGCUCAACCGUGGAGGGUCAUUGGAAACUGGGGGACUUGAGUGCAGAAGAGGAAAGUGGAAUUCCAAGUGUA